Molecule: long non-coding RNA, 806 nt
Organism: Mastomys coucha (southern multimammate mouse)
Lineage: Eukaryota; Metazoa; Chordata; Mammalia; Rodentia; Muridae
Exons: 2
Source: RefSeq, a predicted model, not a curated record
GGGUAUUAGGAAGAGGGAGAACAAAGUACAAGCUGGGCAUCCCAAGGUGGCUUGUGUUGAUUUUCUGAAGCUUGUAGGUAACGAGGUUUGGUCCAGCUGCCAGGCUUCGAAUCUCCUGCCUCUUCCUGCUUUAUGUCUUGAGUUGAUCCCUUGAUUGCAGCUUUCUGGGACCUGAUAAACUCCCCAUGGUCACUUUAUAUGGAGAGCGUUGGAAUGCUUCAUGAUUAGUUUUCGCACACAAAACCGGAGCAUAAAAACCCUGGGUGAAAGCUGGAGAGGCAGGGCGUGGAGAGCCACUUUUCCAGAGGUAGAUCCAGAGCAAGUGUGGCAAGUCAAAACAAGACAAGAAGGUCUAACAGUAAGUUUUCAAGGAUGCAAAAGGCUAAGACUGAGGAUGGGAACCAAGGGUGCUCCAUAUCCAUCAACCCAGCCAUCCCAUAACAGAGACAAGGAGAUCCAGAGUAUGAGGCCAUCCUAUGCUACACAGCAGGACACUGACUUCAAAACUAAACAGCAAGCUGAGGGCAGCCCUGAUGUUGGGACGCGCAGGAAUGAGGCUUGUGAGGAUAUGAUGCUGUAAUGUCUUAGCGGGUACUUAGGCCUCGGAGAGGGUUUGUGAGAAACUGAACUGAAUAGCCUUUGUCUCCCUAUUCUGUGUAAUAAGCCCCUUCCUUACAGUUAAGUCAACUUGAGUUGGAAAUUGUGAUAUUUGCUGAUGGCUGCACAGUAUAUUGUCUAACAUUAAACACCUUUCAUCUUCUGAUCAAAUAGAGAAGAGAACAAAUAAAAUAAAAAUUUUCAUAGAA